Molecule: ribosomal RNA, 253 nt
Filed under: uncultured bacterium
Lineage: Bacteria
Description: partial 16S ribosomal RNA
Rfam family: Bacterial small subunit ribosomal RNA
Source: RNAcentral
UACAGAGGGGGCAAGCGUUGUUCGGAAUUAUUGGGCGUAAAGGGCGCGUAGGCGGUGCGGUAAGUCUUUUGUGAAAUCUCCGGGCUCAACUCGGAGUCUGCAGGAGAAACUGCCGUGCUUGAGUGUGGGAGAGGUGAGUGGAAUUCCUGGUGUAGCGGUGAAAUGCGCAGAUAUCAGGAAGAACACCCGUGGCUAAGGCGGCUCUCUAGUACGGUACUGACGCUGAGACGCGAAAGCGUGGGGAGCGAACAGG